RNAcentral lists this ribosomal RNA (275 nucleotides) under uncultured bacterium. Its description in RNAcentral is "partial 16S ribosomal RNA". It matches the Rfam family "Bacterial small subunit ribosomal RNA", at positions 338 to 630 of the family's 1533-position model. The record is from RNAcentral.
CCUACGGGGGGCAGCAGUGGGGAAUAUUGGACAAUGGGCGCAAGCCUGAUCCAGCCAUGCCGCGUGAGUGAUGAAGGCCUUAGGGUUGUAAAGCUCUUUUGCCAGGGAAGAUAAUGACUGUACCUGGAGAAUAAGCCCCGGCUAACUUCGUGCCAGCAGCCGCGGUAAUACGAAGGGGGCUAGCGUUGUUCGGAAUCACUGGGCGUAAAGCGCACGUAGGCGGAUUCUUAAGUCAGGGGUGAAAUCCCGAGGCUCAACCUCGGAACUGCCUUUGA